This 516-nucleotide long non-coding RNA is filed under the name Dasypus novemcinctus (nine-banded armadillo). RNAcentral describes it as "lncRNA (ENSDNOG00000049935.1)". The record is from RNAcentral. Lineage: Eukaryota; Metazoa; Chordata; Mammalia; Cingulata; Dasypodidae.
UGGCCCACUCAGAGGCCCUUUAAGGCCCUCUGGCUCCCAGCCCAGGAUGCAAUGGGUCUCCAGCCAGAGGACUGCUAAGAGCAGGAGGCGGGUCUGCAGAGGGUCCUGGCUUCACCCAGCCACAGCCAGGGAAAUGGACUUGGUCCAAUGGAUAGGCGACUGCCUACCACGUGGGAGGUCCGCGGUUCAAACCCCGGGCCUCCUUGUCCCGGGUGGAGCUGGCCCAUGCGCAGUGCUGAUGCCUGCAAGGAGUGCCGUGCCACGCAGGGGUGUCCCCCGCGUAGGGGAGCCCCACGUGCAAGGAGUGCGCCCCGUAAGGAGAGCAGCCCAGCACGAAAGAAAGUGCAGCCUGCCCAGGAAUGGUGCCGCACACACGGAGAGCUGACACAACAAGAUGAUGCAACAAAAAGAAACACAGAUUCCCAGUGCUGCUGAUAAGGAUAGAAGCGGUCACAGAAGAACACACAGGGAAUGGACACAGAGAGCAGACAACUGGGGAGGGGGGUGGGGAGGGAA